CAACCCUCAAGCAAUGCUUGGUCUUGGGCCCCGCCAGUCAUCCGGCGGGCCUUAAAAUCAGUGGCGGUGCCGUCAGGCUCUGAGCGUAGUAAAUCUUCUCGCUACAGGGUCCUGGUGGAUGCUAGCCAGCAACCCCCAAUUUUCUAU
Molecule: unclassified non-coding RNA, 147 nt
Filed under: uncultured Leptodontidium
Lineage: Eukaryota; Fungi; Ascomycota
Description: sequence contains ITS2
Source: RNAcentral